UCAAAGCAUCUCGCUUACACCGAGAAAACCUCUGUGAAAACCAGAGUAUUUCGA
This 54-nucleotide transfer RNA is filed under the name Scythrophrys sawayae (Banhado frog). RNAcentral's name for it is "partial tRNA-Val". The record is from RNAcentral. Lineage: Eukaryota; Metazoa; Chordata; Amphibia; Anura; Leptodactylidae.